GAUGAACGCUGGCGGCGUGCCUAAUACAUGCAAGUCGAGCGAACAGGCGAGGUGCUUGUUCCUCUUACGUGAGCGGCGGACGGGUGAGUAACACGUGGAUAACCUGCCUAUAAGAGUGGGAUAACUUCGGGAAACGGGUGCUAAUACCGGAUAAUAUCUUGAACCACAUGGUUCAAUAGUGAAAGACGCAUUUGCUGUCAUCUAUGAAGAUAUCCGCGCGUAUUUGGCUAUUUGGUAAGUUAACGGUUUACCAAGGGAAGAAUGCGUAGCCGACCUAGGAGGGGAAUCGGCCACACGGGAACUGGGCACAGCUCCAGACUCCUACGGGAGGCACCGGAAGGGAAUCUUCCGCAAUGGCCGAAAGCCUAACGGACCAACGCCGGGUGAGUAAUGAAGGUCUUCGGACCGUAAAACUCUGUUAUAAGGGAAGAACAAAUGUGUAAGUAAAUACGCACGACUUGACGGUAACUAAUCAGAAAGCCACGGCUAACUACGUG
Molecule: ribosomal RNA, 497 nt
Filed under: uncultured bacterium
Lineage: Bacteria
Description: partial 16S ribosomal RNA
Rfam family: Bacterial small subunit ribosomal RNA
Source: RNAcentral